ACACUCACCUGGCAAGGGAGAGGCCACAAACAUGAUGGUGGUUUGCUCAGGGAAAGCUUGUCCAUUGUACCUGGGCGUACUGACCAUUGCAUUUCCCCCAAAUUUGGGAAACACAACUGCAUAAUUUAUGAUAGCUUGCACCCUCCCCUGACUUACAAA
This is a small nuclear RNA of Meriones unguiculatus (Mongolian gerbil), 159 nucleotides long. Its record names the gene U1. It matches the Rfam family "U1 spliceosomal RNA". Rfam says of the family: U1 is a small nuclear RNA (snRNA) component of the spliceosome (involved in pre-mRNA splicing). Its 5' end forms complementary base pairs with the 5' splice junction, thus defining the 5' donor site of an intron. There are significant differences in sequence and secondary structure between metazoan and yeast U1 snRNAs, the latter being much longer (568 nucleotides as compared to 164 nucleotides in human). The record is from Ensembl. NCBI's taxonomy places the organism in Eukaryota, Metazoa, Chordata, Mammalia, Rodentia, Muridae.